This 443-nucleotide ribosomal RNA is filed under the name uncultured bacterium. Its description in RNAcentral is "partial 16S ribosomal RNA". It matches the Rfam family "Bacterial small subunit ribosomal RNA", at positions 338 to 795 of the family's 1533-position model. The record is from RNAcentral.
GCUACGGUGGGCAGCAGUGGGGGAUAUUGGACAAUGGGGGAAACCCUGAUCCAGCGACGCCGCGUGAGUGAAGCAGUAUUUCGGUAUGUAAAGCUCUAUCAGCAGGGAAGAAAGAAAUGACGGUACAUGAGUAAGAAGCCCCGGCUAACUACGUGCCAGCAGCCGCGGUAAUACGUAGGGGGCAAGCGUUAUCCGGAAUUACUGGGUGUAAAGGGAGCGUAGACGGUAAUGCAAGUCUGGAGUGAAAGGCGGUGGCCCAACCCCCGGACUGCUCUGGAAACUGUGUAACUGGAGUGCAGGAGAGGCAGGCGGAAUUCCUAGUGUAGCGGGGAAAUGCGUAGAUAUUAGGAGGAACACCAGUGGCGAAGGCGGCCUGCUGGACUGUAACUGACGUUGAGGCUCGAAAGCGUGGGGAGCAAACAGGAUUAGAUACCCUGGUAGUC